UGGGGGAUAUUGCGCAAUGGGGGGAACCCUGACGCAGCAACGCCGCGUGAAGGAAGAAGGUCUUCGGAUUGUAAACUUUUGUCUUAUGGGACGAAGAAAAUGACGGUACCAUAGGAGGAAGCCACGGCUAACUACGUGCCAGCAGCCGCGGUAAUACGUAGGUGGCGAGCGUUGUCCGGAAUUACUGGGUGUAAAGGGCGUGUAGGCGGGGCGUUAAGUCAGAUGUGAAAUACCCGGGCUCAACUUGGGUGCUGCAUUUGAAACUGACGUUCUUGAGUGCAGGAGAGGAAAGCGGAAUUCCUAGUGUAGCGGUGAAAUGCGUAGAUAUUAGGAGGAACACCAGUGGCGAAGGCGGCUUUCUGGACUGUAACUGACGCUGAGGCGCGAAAGCGUGGGGAGCAAACAGG
This 407-nucleotide ribosomal RNA is filed under the name uncultured bacterium. RNAcentral's name for it is "bacterial SSU rRNA". It matches the Rfam family "Bacterial small subunit ribosomal RNA", at positions 355 to 776 of the family's 1533-position model. The record is from RNAcentral.